GAUAAGGAGACAAAGAUCUAUAAUUUGUUGAGUGAAGUGCAUAUAGGGGAGGAAGAGGAGCAUAACUCCUUGACUACUCAAAGAAGCUCGUCAUCCUCUUACAAGUCAGUAGGCCCAAUGGACUCCUUUGCUGCUCGUUCUCCCGAAAAGACCGUCCAAUUAGUAGCUAAGGGCAAACAACCAUCGAUGGACUCCAAGCUAAGAAAGAAAAAAAGGGAAGAUGUUAUGCAAUACAUUUCCAAAUGGUUCUUUGAAGCUGGCAAUCCAUUUCAUACAGCCACACUUCCCUCUUUCCAUCAAAUGCUACAAACCGUGGGGAUGUUUGGAAGUCAUUUACAAGCUCCAUCAAUGUACGAGUUGAGCGAGACUUGCUUGCAGAGAGAGGUGGAUGCAACGAAUGAGAUUGUUGAGAACUUCAAGAAGACAUGCAUUGUCAAUGAUUGUUCCCUGAUGACUGAUGCUUGGAGUGAUCGAAAGUCUAGAAGUAUCAUGAACAUAGUUGUACACUCUGCCGGGAGGGCAUGUUUUUUGUUAUCACAUGAUACAUCGGCCGAUAAGCAUGAUGUUGACUAUAUUUGUGACUUUGUAGACAAGGUUAUUGAUGAGUUAGGGGAGGAAAAUGUGGUGCAGAUUGUCACCGAUGGAGCUUCAAAUAAUAUGGCGGCCUCUAAGAAAUUGGAGGAGAAGAGAAAAAACAUAUUUUGGACCACUUGCGCAGCGCACACCGUGAACUUGAUGUUAUGCGACAUAGUCAAGUUCAAACCCAUUCAUAAUGCCAUUACAAUGGGGAGGAGUGUAUCGGUAUUUAUAUAUAAUCAUACCAAGCCUCUUCAAUUGUUUAGAGAGUUUACUAAGGGUGAUCUUGUGAGACCGGGGGUUACAAGAUUUGCUACGACAUUCCUCUCACUGCAAUCAUUAAGGGAUCACAAGAAAGAGAUGAGGCGGAUGUUCAUCUCUGAUCAAUGGAUGGAUUGUAGCCUUUCAAGAAUAACAGCGGGCAAAAAGGUAUGUAUUUAAACUUUAAAAAUUAAAAUUGAUAGUUACAAAGUAUUCCUUUCAUCAUUUAUAUUUCACUCAUUCUUUAAUUGUUUGUAUUAUUUGUAGGUUGCUGAGAUAGUUGCUAGCAACAAGUUCUGGGACAAUACAGACUUUGCCCUCAAAGUUUUCAAUCCUUUAGUGAAGGUUCUCCGGAGAGCCGAUGGUGAUAAAGUCCCAUCUAUGGGAUUUAUAUAUGGAGAUAUGUUGGUGGCCUUAGAAGAGUUGAAAGUAACCCUUGGAAAUGAUGAGAAAAAAUAUAGUCCCAUAUUGAAAAUGAUUAAGGCAAGAUUCAAUAAGAAGCUUUGUGAUUCACUACAUAAAGCGGGCUACUACUUGAAUCCAUAUUUCUAUUAUCCGGCUUACACGAAAAUUAAAAAAGAUGGAACUUUCAUGACAUCACUUGUAGAUUGUAUGCAUAAAAUCUUCCCAAAUGACCAUGCGACUUUCACAAAGAUUGGAGCUCAAUUACCUAAUUAUCAAGAACGUCUAGGGUCAUUUGGAAAUGAAUAUGCGAAGCGCGAAGCUUCUAAGGGUGAUUGUCCAAGUAACUUUAUAAUAUUAAAUUAAUUCAUUAACCUCUAUUACAAAUUUAUAAGUUACUAAUUUUUUUCAAAUAUGAAUUAACUAGUUACAUGGUGGAGGCUUUAUGGGAAUGAUACUCCCGAAUUGAGAAAGAUGGCAAUGAGAAUUUUGGCCUUGACAACUAGCUCUUCGGCAUGUGAAAGAAAUUGGAGCACAUUUGAGAUGAUUCAUACUAAGAAGAGAAAUAGAUUAUCUCACAAAAAGCUUCAUGACCUCGUCUUUGUCAAAUUCAAUGCAAAAUUGAAGAACAAACAUGCCGUCAUAGAUAGAGAUCCUUUGUGCGCCUAUGAUGAUGAGGAAAUGAUCUCUAAAUGGUUGAUGGGUUCAAACGGGGAUGAUAGCGAUGAUGAAGUAUUUCCGGGAGAAUGUUUGACUUUUAGGCAAGUUGGUGACAUUUCAGGAGCUAAUCCAAGAAAGCGAAAAAGUGCACGAACACAAACCUAUAAAAGAAAGAAAAUGUCGGUAUCAUCUUCUUCGAAGGGGAAGGAGCCGGUGGAGGAUGAUGAGGAAGAAGAUAUUGAGACAUCAUCGGAGUCGAAUGAGGAGGAUGUUCUUACUCUUGAUUUUGAUGAGGAUUGAUUAGUCCUCUUAGUUUCAAUGUUAUUUUGGAAUUACUUUUGGAUAAUUGGAUGUUAAACAAUUAUGAGCUAUUUGUAACUUUGAAAACUUGGUUGUAUGUUUGCUUUGUUUAUGUUUCUCUAUGGAUAUGAAUCUUGUGAUUUUCAUUCUAUAUAUUAUAAUUUAUAUGUCACUUGCUUCAUUCCUUAUAUGCUAUUCUAUGUUUACUAACAACAUCUUCAUAUUUUGUAGGUCAAGCACUCGGAUGGUGUCAAUAUGCACUCGGGAAUCAGGUGUCUACAAUUGGUUAGUGAUCCUAACAUCAAUAAUCAUAUGUUUUGACAAUAUAAUUAUCAAGUAUGUGAAGAUUCCAUUUAUGAUAUUAUAUCAACCUAUCCAAUAUGACAAUCCGAUAUUUUUUUUAUGUCCCCCGAUAUAUCCCCGAUUUCCGCUAUCGGACAUGAAUUUUGGCCGACCGACAUGAACCCGACAUCCGACAUUUAAAACAUUGGAAAUAAGUGCACUAGACUUGUGGCAUCAUGUAAGAUCAUAGUUUAUAUUUUGAAACCUCCAUAAAUGCUCUUUAUCAAAAAGUAUGUCCAGAAUAAAAACUAAGCAUGGCAUUUGAUCUGUAAUGGCGAGGAAUAAUGGCAACAGAAUAAACAAAAUAUUUGGGGUGUUUAAGAGAAAAUAUGAAGACAACCUAGUGGGUCCUCUUUGCCAAUUAAGCCUAUUAAGCCCAACAAUCAUUCCCUCAAACAUGCCUUUACAUAUCUUUGCAUAUGUUCCCAACCACAUCAACACAAGUUUUGAGAACAAUUUCUCUUGGAGAUCUGAUCAGCUUUGAGCACAAAAUUAUCUUUGAGUUGCCUACAACUCCCUGAGUGCAUAUUAUGCAUACAUCAUAUUAUCCUUGAGCUGUCUACAACUCCUUUUGAGUGCUUAGUACAUAUACAUCAUACGCAUCAUAUACAACUCCCUGAGUACAUGGUGCAUAGUACAUUAUCAUUGACUUGUUUAUAACCACCUUUUCACAGUGUACUCGCCUACUCAUAAUAUAUCUUAUGUUUCUCAUUAAGUGCAUAGCAUUAAUAUACGCAUUACCAAAGCCCGAUGCAUCUUGGACACAUUAGUGGUUUUUUCCCCCAUUUCUUAUCCUUCUUAUGCUGCUGACUAAAACUAAAC
Molecule: RNA transcript, 3363 nt
Organism: Asparagus officinalis (garden asparagus)
Lineage: Eukaryota; Viridiplantae; Streptophyta; Magnoliopsida; Asparagales; Asparagaceae
Exons: 2
Source: RefSeq, a predicted model, not a curated record